This 131-nucleotide transfer RNA is filed under the name Candidatus Thorarchaeota archaeon. RNAcentral's name for it is "tRNA-Leu". It matches the Rfam family "tRNA". Rfam says of the family: Transfer RNA (tRNA) molecules are approximately 80 nucleotides in length. Their secondary structure includes four short double-helical elements and three loops (D, anti-codon, and T loops). Further hydrogen bonds mediate the characteristic L-shaped molecular structure. tRNAs have two regions of fundamental functional importance: the anti-codon, which is responsible for specific mRNA codon recognition, and the 3' end, to which the tRNAs corresponding amino acid is attached (by aminoacyl-tRNA synthetases). tRNAs cope with the degeneracy of the genetic code in two manners: having more than one tRNA (with a specific anti-codon) for a particular amino acid; and 'wobble' base-pairing, i.e. permitting non-standard base-pairing at the 3rd anti-codon position. The record is from RNAcentral. Lineage: Archaea; Promethearchaeati; Candidatus Thorarchaeota.
GCGGAGGUUGCCAAGCCAGGUCAAAGAUGUGAGAUGGGAGAACACUCCCAACGCUCAUGUCAACUGCAGGCGCUAGGUUGAGGGCCUAGUCCCGCAGGGGUUCGCGAGUUCAAAUCUCGCCCUCCGCACCA